RNAcentral lists this ribosomal RNA (752 nucleotides) under Salmonella enterica. RNAcentral's name for it is "partial 23S ribosomal RNA". It matches the Rfam family "Bacterial large subunit ribosomal RNA", at positions 2049 to 2800 of the family's 2925-position model. The record is from RNAcentral. Lineage: Bacteria; Pseudomonadati; Pseudomonadota; Gammaproteobacteria; Enterobacterales; Enterobacteriaceae.
CGCUGUGAAGAUGCAGUGUACCCGCGGCAAGACGGAAAGACCCCGUGAACCUUUACUAUAGCUUGACACUGAACAUUGAGCCUUGAUGUGUAGGAUAGGUGGGAGGCUUUGAAGCGUGGACGCCAGUCUGCGUGGAGCCGACCUUGAAAUACCACCCUUUAAUGUUUGAUGUUCUAACGUGGACCCGUAAUCCGGGUUGCGGACAGUGUCUGGUGGGUAGUUUGACUGGGGCGGUCUCCUCCUAAAGAGUAACGGAGGAGCACGAAGGUUGGCUAAUCCUGGUCGGACAUCAGGAGGUUAGUGCAAUGGCAUAAGCCAGCUUGACUGCGAGCGUGACGGCGCGAGCAGGUGCGAAAGCAGGUCAUAGUGAUCCGGUGGUUCUGAAUGGAAGGGCCAUCGCUCAACGGAUAAAAGGUACUCCGGGGAUAACAGGCUGAUACCGCCCAAGAGUUCAUAUCGACGGCGGUGUUUGGCACCUCGAUGUCGGCUCAUCACAUCCUGGGGCUGAAGUAGGUCCCAAGGGUAUGGCUGUUCGCCAUUUAAAGUGGUACGCGAGCUGGGUUUAGAACGUCGUGAGACAGUUCGGUCCCUAUCUGCCGUGGGCGCUGGAAGACUGAGGGGGGCUGCUCCUAGUACGAGAGGACCGGAGUGGACGCAUCACUGGUGUUCGGGUUGUCAUGCCAAUGGCACUGCCCGGUAGCUAAAUGCGGAAAAGAUAAGUGCUGAAAGCAUCUAAGCACGAAACUUGCCCC